This 253-nucleotide ribosomal RNA is filed under the name uncultured bacterium. RNAcentral's name for it is "partial 16S ribosomal RNA". It matches the Rfam family "Bacterial small subunit ribosomal RNA", at positions 524 to 776 of the family's 1533-position model. The record is from RNAcentral.
UACGUAGGGGGCAAGCGUUGUCCGGAUUUAUUGGGCGUAAAGAGCGUGUAGGCGGCCUUACAGGUCAGCUGUGAAGACUCGGGGCUCAACCUCGAGACGUCGGUUGAAACCGUAAGGCUAGAGUCCGGAAGAGGAGAGUGGAAUUCCCGGUGUAGCGGUGAAAUGCGCAGAUAUCGGGAAGAACACCCGUGGCGAAGGCGGCUCUCUGGGACGGUACUGACGCUGAGACGCGAAAGCGUGGGGAGCGAACAGG